Molecule: long non-coding RNA, 2969 nt
Filed under: Olea europaea subsp. europaea
Lineage: Eukaryota; Viridiplantae; Streptophyta; Magnoliopsida; Lamiales; Oleaceae
Source: RNAcentral
CGAAAAUGAAUAUUUAUGACAUGGCUAUUUUGAUUGCAGCCCAGAUAAGUCAAAGGAUCGAGAAACGUACUAAUACAAAGUAUUCAUAACUCAACAAUGGAUUUUGAUAUAUUAAAAUAUUUACUCAAUGCCCUUUUUGAUUAUUUAACUCUUAAUUUUCCAAAUACAAGAUACUGAAUUAAAGUCUCCGGCCCACACUAUUGCCUGCCACAUAAGAGGAAAUUGAAUAAUAGAAAUAAAUACAACUUUAUGUGUUUUGACAAAAAUGUCUACAACGCGUGUUUUUGGAAUAUUAGAAGUUCCCACACGAUGCAUUUCCAUCUUCAUAAAUACAUUUAAAAUUGCCAUUCUUAUAAGUUUGUGCAAAUUCCUUUCAUUAUCGCAAAAUAAUAUUGUUUCACAUUCAUGAUGCCAACUUUUGUAGAGUAUUCAAGACUCUUAACAUAUCUAAAGUUUACAAAGAUAUCAAACUUCUCCUUAACCUCCGAACAUUUGAAAUACCUAUAAUUAACCUCAUUUUUUCAUCAAACAUUUUUACUUUUAUAGUACUUAUACCUUUGGCUUCACAUUCUCAUCAUUAGCAAAAAAAAAAAUAACACAGAAUCACAUGAUUUCAUGAAUGAAACCACCCAGUAUGCACAAAACAUAAAGUAUGAAGAUCUAGAAUCGAAAAUUUCAAACUCAAAUGAAGUUUCAUUAUUUAAAUAAAGUAAAGAUCUAUGUCAUGAUCAUUGCUGUUGUUACCAACAUUCGCAGACUCUAAACCCUUUUUUAUCCAAGAUACUUCAUUAGUUCUUCAAAAUUUUAUCCAAGCCCUUUUUUUAAUUUUGAUUUUUUCAAAACCAUUUUUCAUCAAAUUUGUUUUUUUCAAUCACUCGUUCUCCCAAUAAAAUAAUUUUGUAAGUAGAUCCACUACUUUUUCCUACUUUUUAAGUACAUAUUAUCCAAAAAAUAACUUUUACAAAACCAUUUCUCAAAAUAUCAAAAUCAAACGAGGGUCUAGAUAUGCACCUUUUGUGAAAUGGAUGCUAACAAUAAUACUUCCUAUCGUAAAUAUGUCCUAGUAAUUUGCGUUUGUCACGUCCAAUCUCAGGUUUUGCAAAGACAAAUUGGCCAUUGUGUGAACUUGACUUCUUGAUCUUGGUUUUCUUAAAAAGAGUAGUAGAAACUUGAUUCUCCAUCAAAAGUAGAAUUUUCAACUAGUACUGAGUCAUCGACUUGGUUAGGAGGCUAUCUAGAUUAUUGUUUUUAUUUAUCCUCUAUCUUGGCAUCAAAAAUCAGUAGUCUAGAUAUGUAUUUUAUAAAUUUAGUGCUUGUUCAAGAGAUAUAAUAAUUUGUUGAUAUUAUAAAUUGAAAGAAAUGAAUGACAAAUAAAUGAGUAUUAGCUGUGGAUUCUAAGAAAUGUGUAAUUAAAAUUAAAAUUUAACUUUAAAUUUUAAAUUUUUUUAUUUCAUUGUAAUUUAAAAUGAGGAGGCACUUAAACAAUUAUUAAGGUUAUUAAAGUUAUUGUAAUUAUGAAAUCUGUACUGAAAAUUAGUAAGAUUAAACCUGACAUAAGUUUUGUAUUCCAUCUUCAACUCAUACAAUUAUUUUUUAGUAUGUUCUACUAAUUUGGGACUUAGCAUUCCAUAAUUAAAAAGGACAAGUGAUGAAUUAAGUCCAAAAUACACCUUCAUCUAAGCGUAUAUUCGAAACUUCUAUUAGAAAAUUUUUCAGACACUCAUUCAUUUUUUACUAUAUUUGGUCGGCGAGGAACAAGAGAAUUUUUUAGCAUCUUAGACCACAAGUUGAUUGCAUUGUUAGACAAAUUAAAACACACUAUACAAAAUUAUGUCGUCUUCGUAUCCGCGUGUUUUGAUUCAAUUUUAGUCAUUUGCGUUGUGUUCAUAGCUAUUAUUGUUUUAUACAUCUUUUCAUUUUGAUUGUCCGAGCAUGUUCAGGGUACUUGUAAUCGUCAUUUAAUCUUUGUUUGUCCAAGUAUGUCCAUUAUACUUGUAUAUGAGUUUUGAUUAAUAGAAUUUACAUUUACCAUUCCAGGAAAAAAAGGGGGUGGUUUUAACAUUCCUUUUGCCCUUUUUUCCAUUUUGCACUAAAUUGGUGUUAAGAGUAUUUGUGUUCAAUUUUUUGUUAUACAAGAAAUUUUAAUUUAUUAAUAAUAAAAAUAUUAUUAUUGUUGUUGUUGUUGUUAUUGUUAUUGUUGUUAUUAUUAUUAUUAUUUAAUACUAUGAUAUGUACAUUUGCAAUAAACUUUAAUCUUAUAGUCAAUAAUAAUCAAGAAAUGGAUUAAAGUAUAGUACUCAAAAAGUUUUAAAAUUGUUAACGAAACAUAAUUAAUUAAUAUUUUCGUUAACGAAUUCAAUAUUUUCGUUAAUGAAUUCUAUAUUUAAUAUUCUUGUUAUACAAUAAUAAUCAAGGAAUGAAUUCAAUUUUUUCGUUAACGAAAUGUAAUUUUUAUUUAAUAAUAUAUGCAUAAAUUAAAUAAAUAAAUAAUUUUUUAGAUAAAUAAAUUGUUUAGAAUGAACAAAAUGAAGGUAAAUGAUGUGCAUUUGGUUCGACUUUUGAUGCAACGGUUUGAAGAUAACUUUUAAUUUGGUACAAGAAUUGGUGUAAAAUAGUGCAAAAUUUACCUUAAAUUUUGGUGCACAACCUAAAUACCUGGUCUAGCACGAACAAGGGAGGAUGAAGCCCGCUUGAGCAAGGCAACUACUGAAAGCUUCUAUCUCUCGUUAGAGCAAGGAGAUCAUCACUAGCACGAACAAGGGAGGAUGAAGCCCGCUUGAGCAAGGCAACUACUGAAAGCUUCUAUCUCUCGUUAGAGCAAGGAGAUCAUCACUUGAGCGAGGAUGAACAGACACCACGUCAUUUGAUGUCUAUUCUGGUGAAACAGAUGUGUUUGUUCUUUAAUUUCAGCUGCUAAAUCACAUAUUUAUAAAUACUAAUCAAAGUACUUUAGUUACUCCGUUUAAUAA